UACGUAGGGUGCGAGCGUUAAUCGGAAUUACUGGGCGUAAAGCGUGCGCAGGCGGUGAUGUAAGACAGGUGUGAAAUCCCCGGGCUUAACCUGGGAACUGCAUUUGUGACUGCAUCGCUGGAGUGCGGCAGAGGGGGAUGGGAUUCCGCGUGUAGCAGUGAAAUGCGUAGAUAUCAAGAGGAACACCUGAGGCGAAGGCGGGUUGCUAGGCUGACACUGACGCUGACAGCGCGAAGGCCAGGGAAGCAAACGGG
This 254-nucleotide ribosomal RNA is filed under the name uncultured prokaryote. RNAcentral describes it as "partial 16S ribosomal RNA". It matches the Rfam family "Bacterial small subunit ribosomal RNA", at positions 524 to 776 of the family's 1533-position model. The record is from RNAcentral.